CUUGUGCAAUAAACGAAAGUAUGACACAGAGAGGACACAUUUAAUUGAGCCCGUCAAAUUAAGUGCCAGCCGACGCGGUUAAACUUAAGGGCUGGUCUUUAUAAGUAAAAAGGCGUAAAGGAUGUGUAGGCCAAGAAACAAUCAAAGUAGGUAAAUGGAAUUUUUCUGGAGCGGUAGAAUGUGAGGAUAGAAAAUAGAACCCCUAAGGUAAAAACUAUUUACCACAAGGUAGGCUGAAACAUGAGAGUGUGGGGAGCAAACAGGAUUAGAGACCCUGGUAGUCCACACUGUAAACUUUGAAGAUGAUGCUUAGCAGACCCGAAAGGUAAAAUCUUCCGCCUGAGUAGUACGAUCGCAAGAUUAAAAUUCAAAAACUUUGGCUGUUCACUAUUUCGAUUAGAGGAGCGUGUAGUUUAAUUCGAUGGUCCGCGUGUUACCUUACCCCAACUUGAAUCUGUGACCGGUAUUGCAUGGCCGUCGUAAGUUCGUGUAUUAAGCUAGAAGGGACCCAACCCGGGCAUUUGCCCGGAGGAAGUCAGGUCUUAUGAUCCGAAUGUUGGGGGAUUUUAUGCGCUACAUUUUCUUAUAUAAUGGGAAACCUGAAAGGUGAGCCUCUAAAGUAAGAGUUCGGAAGGUCGCUGUAAGACGACUGGAAGUUGGAUUUAAUAGUAAUCGGAAAGUAGGGCGUUCCGGUGAAUUGGUACAAGUGUUAGCACAAAUUGCCCGUCACCUUUACCUAGAAUGGUUAUUCGG
RNAcentral lists this ribosomal RNA (753 nucleotides) under Stichodactyla haddoni. RNAcentral's name for it is "partial small subunit ribosomal RNA". It matches the Rfam family "Bacterial small subunit ribosomal RNA", at positions 363 to 1423 of the family's 1533-position model. RNAcentral also lists the same sequence under 1 other name. Lineage: Eukaryota; Metazoa; Cnidaria; Anthozoa; Actiniaria; Stichodactylidae. The record is from RNAcentral.